Small nucleolar RNA from Carlito syrichta (Philippine tarsier), 86 nucleotides. Lineage: Eukaryota; Metazoa; Chordata; Mammalia; Primates; Tarsiidae. The record is from Ensembl.
UCUCUGUGAUGUCAUUCCAGUAGAUCCUUCCGACCCUCCACUGUGGACUCAAUAGCAGGGGGAUGAAGAGGACAGCAACUGAGAGA